AUAUAUUGUUAUUACAUAUAUCUGUAUUGUAAAUAAUUUUUUGGAUAUGGGAAACUGAUUUUUUUAAAGGCUGAUGGGUAUGAAAUCAACUCCGUCAACUAAAAGAAGUCAGAAGCUUUGAUCCAAAGGAUCUAACUUUGAUCAACCAGGUCACCUAUCACCUUGACAUAUGAAAGGGUCUUCAAAGGAAAGACUCAGACUUCAUAGUUUUACAGUGCGAUUGUGAACAUGAUUCUUAUCUGGUGACAUUUACACGGCCUAAAUUACAAAAUGGGGACUCUUUUCCUGAGACUGAAGUAAAUUUAUCAGAUUCAAAAGAUGAUUAGCAAUACUGUGACAGGAAAUAAGAAAGUGAGAAAAUCUUUCUGAAGAGGCUUUCUUCUUUUUGCCAACAGGUCAAAGAAAUAAAAGGAGGAAAAUACUAACAGACCGACAACAUUUCUAAAAUUUAGGUUAAAGAAGACCAUCAGAGAAAGUAGAAAAGGCAACAGAACUGAAAUUCUCUUUGGGAUAAUUACACCAGGCAGCUCAUAGAAUAUACACUGCUUCAAAAAUAUUUUUAAAGAGAUGCACCAAGAGAGAAAAGCACCAAAAAAAGUUUCCUAAGUGUUUGAGGUGUUCUGUCAAGCAAUAAAACAUUUUCAUUCAAAAUCAAUUAUAUGGUACCAUGAGGAACUGAGCAAGUAAAGACCAAGAAUUUUAACUUAUAUUUCCUUUGAGGUCAUAUGAGAACAUGGACAAUCCAUACCCAAAUGCCAUAGGCUAAUCCCGCUUCAACUUUUAUGGCCAGAGACCUGGCUCCUAGUUAUAAAGUACCCUCGAAACAGCAAACUAUGGCAGCCCUUUUUGGAUUUUCUUCCUGAUUAUUGGAUGCUUUCUUUCUGUUUUCUUACACUUCAAAUAAACAUUCCU
Chinchilla lanigera (long-tailed chinchilla) is the source of this 912-nucleotide long non-coding RNA. RefSeq lists it as uncharacterized. The record is from RefSeq and is a predicted model, not a curated record. NCBI's taxonomy places the organism in Eukaryota, Metazoa, Chordata, Mammalia, Rodentia, Chinchillidae. The transcript has 6 exons.